AUCAAGAAGUCAUCAAGUCAUCGCAACCUCCUUCAAAGACUGCUGAGACAAUGAUUCCUCCAAAGGCAGAACCUCCUCCGCAUGUGAUUGAGACAAAACUUCUUCCAAAAGAUCCUCCUGAGGCUAGAAAAUCUUCUCCAGAUGUGCAUACAAUAUCUAAGGGUCUUCAAACAGAACUUUCCAACAGGACUAGAACUCAGAGAUCUCCUUCGAGCAGUGAAAUCUCCAUGUCAAACCAAGCACCUAAUCCUGAAGUUGUGCAGAAACAAAAGGAAACAUUAGAAGGGUACUUUAAUAUGCCUUUGGAGGCUAUACAGCAAGCUAAUGCCUAUGGCAGCAUUGAGGGAAUUAUCAAUGCACUCAUUCAAAAUAGUAAUGAUUUGCGUGAGAAGACAAUUCUUGAAGAUCUUCUCUCUCGCUUGGCAGAAUUUAAAGAGAGUAUUCCUGUGGCUACAACCAUUACAGAAGCUGCUCAAGCUCGCAGAACAUCUCUUUCGGGGAAGACCACUGAUCUAGAUGCAAGAUUGGCACAAAGACAAAAGAAACUAAGUUUCUUGGAGACUGAAUUCUCAAGACUUUCAAAAGAAGAAGAAAAACUAGAGGCUCAAAUUCAACUCUUAAUUACCCAGAAGGAGAAAAUUCUUGCUAACAAGAAGCAUGUUUUAGCUGACUUAGAGAAAAACAAUGAAGACGCUACAAAAGAUUUAGAAGAAUGGCGAAAUCUGGAAAGUGAAAUCAAGCAGGUGAAUGUCGAUUGGCUUGGAGCAAAAGAGAAACUAGCAUUAGCUAAUGUCCGUUGGAAACUCUUCAAGGAGGAUUUGGGUCUUGGAAAGCUUAACAUUUCGUAAUCACUUUUAUGUUGUUCAUUCGUUGGAUUUCUUAUAUUAUAUUAAUGGUCUCAUAAUUCAUCGCAAUUUGGCCGUGUAAUUAAGUGUACUUUAAUUUUAUUUUAAUUUUACUAUAGUCGUCUUGAUGAAUCUAAGUGAAAUUCCUCUGCUUAUACUCUCA
This 1008-nucleotide unclassified non-coding RNA is filed under the name Hevea brasiliensis (rubber tree). The record is from RNAcentral. Lineage: Eukaryota; Viridiplantae; Streptophyta; Magnoliopsida; Malpighiales; Euphorbiaceae.